This is a non-coding RNA of Paramuricea clavata, 255 nucleotides long. NCBI's taxonomy places the organism in Eukaryota, Metazoa, Cnidaria, Anthozoa, Malacalcyonacea, Plexauridae. The record is from the annotation of a GenBank genome assembly.
CUUCCGCAAUUGUCUAGCAAAGGUCUAGAAUAGGUCUUGUAGACCUAUCAAAGACUUUUUCUAGACCUAUUUAGAUCUUUCAUUUUCCUACGGGAAUGAUGACAACAUGCUCGUAGCAACUUGUUUCGGACAGCCUUUACUUAGUUUGUUACUAGUCUGUUACCGCCAUCAACCUUGUAACAAGGUGACAACAACUUGUUCCAGACUUGUCGUAACAACUGGGAACAAGCAGUGUAAACACAUCCUGAUAUCGGC